UGAAUUUUGAGCUGGUGUUUUAUUUAAAUCAUGAACACUAUUGCUUUGUGGUCGAGUUUUGAACGGGUCACUUAUCGGGCUUGCUUUGGGCCUCACUAUAGCUGCCAAAAGACCACAGUCCCAAUUUGCAGGGUCUUCCAAGGGGAAGUACGAGACCGGUGGUGAAGCUUGGUUAGAACCAUGGUUAGGGUUCAGGUUAUGGAUUGUGUUUGGAACAGGAACCGAUUUUAAGAUCGGGUUGAAGUUCUUAUUUGGUGUACUAGGAAGGUUAUGCAUUGUGUUUGGAACAGGAGUUGAGUUUAAGAUCGGGCUGAAGUUCUUAUUUGGCGUACUAGAAAGGUUAUGCAUUGUGUUUGGAACAUGAGCGGAGUUUAAGAUCGGGUUGAAGUUCUUACUUGGUGUAGUAGGAAGGUUAUGCAUUGUGUUUGGAACGAAGGUUAUGCAUUGUGUUUGGAACGUGAGCGGAGUUUAAGAUCGGGUUGACGUUCUUAUUUGGUGUACUAGGAAGGUUAUGCAUUGUGUUUGGAACGUGAGCGGAGUUUAAGAUCGGGUUGAAGUUCUUAUUCGGUGUACCAGAAACCCGAGUUUGACCUCCAUUAUUUUGAUGAUGGUCUUGAGCUACUUCGUUCAAAUUUAGAGGCUCUUUUUGUAACAAACCUUGGUACAUCCCAACCAAAUCCCCCCAAUCUUCAUUUCCCAUUUGAUUUCGGGGCUUGUUAGCCGUAAUCACAUUUGACGUUUGGAGAUUCGGUUUUCCAGGUGUCACGGGAGUCCAAGAGCUACUUCCACUAGCAUUCCCAUUCCCAUUCCCAUUCACAUUCCCAUUCCCUCGGGAAUAUGAAUUCGUGUGUACUACCGGAUUCCAAAUCCCAUCAUUUUGCACAAAGCCAUUCCCAUUCCCGUUCCCAUGAUGGAUUGUUGUCCAUGAAUCUCUCUGACCCUCGAUUCCAAUUCCAUUUCCAGUUGACCUGACCGGAGUUGUCAUCCAUGAUUCCGAUUCCCUGGGUCGAAUAAUUCCAUCAUCCACCACAACCCCCCUUCUCGGAGUCUCGCCUAAACUCUCAACCCCUUGCGGAAACUGUCCGCCAAACAUGGCGGCAGUCCAAGAACCCGGGUUCGGCCCAACACCAUUAUUCUCCGGCGGAAUAACCUUCACGGCAAUCCACGAUUCCUUAUUUCCAUACUGAGGGAGUGGAAAACCCCUCCCAUAGUUCAUCCCUGAACUCACCCAACCACCAAAAAUUUCCCCCCUUUAACCUUUUUUUUCUACUUUUCCAAACCCUAAUUUUAAGAAAUACUCAAAUCAAUUGCAAUUCAGAUUCCAAUUCAACAACCCUAAUCCCCAAUCUCACUGAAACAAUCCUCAGACACCUAAAAUGUGACGGUCAGCUGACCGAUCUUUAAAACUGUAAUCACCGUCGGUGAAAUUCGCCGGAGAACAAGUCAAU
This 1448-nucleotide long non-coding RNA is filed under the name Helianthus annuus (common sunflower). RNAcentral's name for it is "sRNA HanXRQr2_Chr04g0170131". The record is from RNAcentral. Lineage: Eukaryota; Viridiplantae; Streptophyta; Magnoliopsida; Asterales; Asteraceae.